GAGGGGCAAACGGGGGAGUAACGCGUAAACAACCGGCCGUAAAGAGGGGGACAACAGUUCGAAAGGACGGCUAAUACCGAAGGUUGUAAAGUUUCCGCAUGGGAAUCCUACUAAAGGUGGCCUCUACUUGUAAGCUAUCGCUUUACGAUGGGUCUGCGUCUGAUUAGCUAGUUGGGGGGGUAACGGCCUACCAAGGCGACAAUCAGUAGCCGGUCUGAGAGGAUGAACGGCCACUUUGGAACUGAAACACGGUCCAAACUCCUACGGGAGGCAGCAGUGGGGAAUCUUCCGCAAUGGGCGCAAGCCUGACGGAGCACCGCCGCGUGAGUGAAGAAGGGUUUCGACUCGUAAAGCUCUGUUGUCGGGGACGAAUGUGGAGAUGGUGAAUAACCAUUUUCAAUGACGGUACCUGACGAGGAAGCCACGGCUAACUACGUG
This 438-nucleotide ribosomal RNA is filed under the name uncultured bacterium. RNAcentral describes it as "bacterial SSU rRNA". It matches the Rfam family "Bacterial small subunit ribosomal RNA", at positions 93 to 507 of the family's 1533-position model. The record is from RNAcentral.